RNAcentral lists this ribosomal RNA (2773 nucleotides) under human gut metagenome. RNAcentral's name for it is "bacterial LSU rRNA". It matches the Rfam family "Bacterial large subunit ribosomal RNA". The record is from RNAcentral.
AGCGUACACGGUGGAUGCCCUGGCAGUCAGAGGCGAUGAAGGACGUGCUAAUCUGCGAUAAGCGUCGGUAAGGUGAUAUGAACCGUUAUAACCGGCGAUUUCCGAAUGGGGAAACCCAGUGUGAUUCGUCACACUAUCAUUAACUGAAUCCAUAGGUUAAUGAGGCGAACCGGGGGAACUGAAACAUCUAAGUACCCCGAGGAAAAGAAAUCAACCGAGAUUCCCCCAGUAGCGGCGAGCGAACGGGGAGCAGCCCAGAGCCUGAAUCAGUGUGUGUGUUAGUGGAAGCGUCUGGAAAGGCGCGCGAUACAGGGUGACAGCCCCGUACACAAAAAUGCACAUGCUGUGAGCUCGAUGAGUAGGGCGGGACACGUGGUAUCCUGUCUGAAUAUGGGGGGACCAUCCUCCAAGGCUAAAUACUCCUGACUGACCGAUAGUGAACCAGUACCGUGAGGGAAAGGCGAAAAGAACCCCGGCGAGGGGAGUGAAAAAGAACCUGAAACCGUGUACGUACAAGCAGUGGGAGCCUCUUAAUGGGGUGACUGCGUACCUUUUGUAUAAUGGGUCAGCGACUUAUAUUCUGUAGCAAGGUUAACCGAAUAGGGGAGCCGAAGGGAAACCGAGUCUUAACUGGGCGUUAAGUUGCAGGGUAUAGACCCGAAACCCGGUGAUCUAGCCAUGGGCAGGUUGAAGGUUGGGUAACACUAACUGGAGGACCGAACCGACUAAUGUUGAAAAAUUAGCGGAUGACUUGUGGCUGGGGGUGAAAGGCCAAUCAAACCGGGAGAUAGCUGGUUCUCCCCGAAAGCUAUUUAGGUAGCGCCUCGUGAAUUCAUCUCCGGGGGUAGAGCACUGUUUCGGCAAGGGGGUCAUCCCGACUUACCAACCCGAUGCAAACUGCGAAUACCGGAGAAUGUUAUCACGGGAGACACACGGCGGGUGCUAACGUCCGUCGUGAAGAGGGAAACAACCCAGACCGCCAGCUAAGGUCCCAAAGUCAUGGUUAAGUGGGAAACGAUGUGGGAAGGCCCAGACAGCCAGGAUGUUGGCUUAGAAGCAGCCAUCAUUUAAAGAAAGCGUAAUAGCUCACUGGUCGAGUCGGCCUGCGCGGAAGAUGUAACGGGGCUAAACCAUGCACCGAAGCUGCGGCAGCGACACUAUGUGUUGUUGGGUAGGGGAGCGUUCUGUAAGCCUGCGAAGGUGUACUGUGAGGUAUGCUGGAGGUAUCAGAAGUGCGAAUGCUGACAUAAGUAACGAUAAAGCGGGUGAAAAGCCCGCUCGCCGGAAGACCAAGGGUUCCUGUCCAACGUUAAUCGGGGCAGGGUGAGUCGACCCCUAAGGCGAGGCCGAAAGGCGUAGUCGAUGGGAAACAGGUUAAUAUUCCUGUACUUGGUGUUACUGCGAAGGGGGGACGGAGAAGGCUAUGUUGGCCGGGCGACGGUUGUCCCGGUUUAAGCGUGUAGGCUGGUUUUCCAGGCAAAUCCGGAAAAUCAAGGCUGAGGCGUGAUGACGAGGCACUACGGUGCUGAAGCAACAAAUGCCCUGCUUCCAGGAAAAGCCUCUAAGCAUCAGGUAACAUCAAAUCGUACCCCAAACCGACACAGGUGGUCAGGUAGAGAAUACCAAGGCGCUUGAGAGAACUCGGGUGAAGGAACUAGGCAAAAUGGUGCCGUAACUUCGGGAGAAGGCACGCUGAUAUGUAGGUGAAGUCCCUUGCGGAUGGAGCUGAAAUCAGUCGAAGAUACCAGCUGGCUGCAACUGUUUAUUAAAAACACAGCACUGUGCAAACACGAAAGUGGACGUAUACGGUGUGACGCCUGCCCGGUGCCGGAAGGUUAAUUGAUGGGGUUAGCGGUAACGCGAAGCUCUUGAUCGAAGCCCCGGUAAACGGCGGCCGUAACUAUAACGGUCCUAAGGUAGCGAAAUUCCUUGUCGGGUAAGUUCCGACCUGCACGAAUGGCGUAAUGAUGGCCAGGCUGUCUCCACCCGAGACUCAGUGAAAUUGAACUCGCUGUGAAGAUGCAGUGUACCCGCGGCAAGACGGAAAGACCCCGUGAACCUUUACUAUAGCUUGACACUGAACAUUGAGCCUUGAUGUGUAGGAUAGGUGGGAGGCUUUGAAGUGUGGACGCCAGUCUGCAUGGAGCCGACCUUGAAAUACCACCCUUUAAUGUUUGAUGUUCUAACGUUGGCCCCUAAUCGGGGUUGCGGACAGUGUCUGGUGGGUAGUUUGACUGGGGCGGUCUCCUCCUAAAGAGUAACGGAGGAGCACGAAGGUUAGCUAAUCCUGGUCGGACAUCAGGAGGUUAGUGCAAAGGCAUAAGCUAGCUUGACUGCGAGAGUGACGGCUCGAGCAGGUGCGAAAGCAGGUCUUAGUGAUCCGGUGGUUCUGAAUGGAAGGGCCAUCGCUCAACGGAUAAAAGGUACUCCGGGGAUAACAGGCUGAUACCGCCCAAGAGUUCAUAUCGACGGCGGUGUUUGGCACCUCGAUGUCGGCUCAUCACAUCCUGGGGCUGAAGUAGGUCCCAAGGGUAUGGCUGUUCGCCAUUUAAAGUGGUACGCGAGCUGGGUUUAGAACGUCGUGAGACAGUUCGGUCCCUAUCUGCCGUGGGCGCUGGAGAACUGAGGGGGGCUGCUCCUAGUACGAGAGGACCGGAGUGGACGCAUCACUGGUGUUCGGGUUGUCAUGCCAAUGGCACUGCCCGGUAGCUAAAUGCGGAAGAGAUAAGUGCUGAAAGCAUCUAAGCACGAAACUUGCCCCGAGAUGAGUUCU